GUAGGGGGCAAGCGUUAUCCGGAUUUACUGGGUGUAAAGGGAGCGCAGGCGGCAGGAUGAGUCUGAUGUGAAAACCCGCGGCUCAACCACGGGAUUGCAUUGGAAACUGUCCAGCUAGAGUGUCGGAGAGGUAAGCGGAAUUCCUAGUGUAGCGGUGAAAUGCGUAGAUAUUAGGAGGAACACCAGUGGCGAAGGCGGCUUACUGGACGAUGACUGACGCUGAGGCUCGAAAGCGUGGGGAGCAAA
Molecule: ribosomal RNA, 246 nt
Filed under: uncultured bacterium
Lineage: Bacteria
Description: partial 16S ribosomal RNA
Rfam family: Bacterial small subunit ribosomal RNA
Source: RNAcentral